Molecule: ribosomal RNA, 478 nt
Filed under: uncultured bacterium
Lineage: Bacteria
Description: partial 16S ribosomal RNA
Rfam family: Bacterial small subunit ribosomal RNA
Source: RNAcentral
GAUUAACGCUGGCGGCGUGCAUAACACAUGCAAGUCGAACGAUGAAACUCAUUAGAUUUCUUCGGAAUGAAAAUGAAUGGAUUAGUGGCGAACGGGUGAGUAACGCGUGAGUAACCUGCCUUACACAAGGGGAUAGCCUCUGGAAACGGAGAAUAAUAUCCUAUGAAACCAGACAAUCGCAUGAUAAUCUGGUCAAAAUGUUUAGUGGUGUAAGAUGGACUUGCGUCUGAUUAGCUAGUUGGUGAGAUAAAAGCUCACCAAGGCAACGAUCAGUAGCCGGCUUGAGAGAGUGUACGGCCACAUUGGGACUGAGACACGGCCCAGACUCCUACGGGAGGCAGCAGUGGGGAAUUUUGCACAAUGGGGGAAACCCUGAUGCAGCGACGCCGCGUGAUUUAGAAGGCCUUCGGGUUGUAAAAAUCUUUUGUAUAGGAAGAAAAUGACAGUACUAUACGAAUAAGGUCCGGCUAAUUACGUG